RNAcentral lists this ribosomal RNA (588 nucleotides) under uncultured bacterium. Its description in RNAcentral is "partial 16S ribosomal RNA". It matches the Rfam family "Bacterial small subunit ribosomal RNA", at positions 355 to 934 of the family's 1533-position model. The record is from RNAcentral.
UGGGGAAUUUUGGACAAUGGGCGAAAGCCUGAUCCAGCAAUGCCGCGUGUGUGAAGAAGGCCUUCGGGUUGUAAAGCACUUUUGUCCGGAAAGAAAUCCUUGGCUCUAAUACAGUCGGGGGAUGACGGUACCGGAAGAAUAAGCACCGGCUAACUACGUGCCAGCAGCCGCGGUAAUACGUAGGGUGCAAGCGUUAAUCGGAAUUACUGGGCGUAAAGCGUGCGCAGGCGGUUUGCUAAGACCGAUGUGAAAUCCCCGGGCUCAACCUGGGAACUGCAUUGGUGACUGGCAGGCUAGAGUAUGGCAGAGGGGGGUAGAAUUCCACGUGUAGCAGUGAAAUGCGUAGAGAUGUGGAGGAAUACCGAUGGCGAAGGCAGCCCCCUGGGCCAAUACUGACGCUCAUGCACGAAAGCGUGGGGAGCAAAACAGGAUUAGAUACCCUGGUAGUCCACGCCCUAAAACGAUGUCAACUAGUUGUUGGGGAUUCAUUUCCUUAGUAACGUAGCUAACGCGUGAAGUUGACCGCCUGGGGAGUACGGUCGCAAGAUUAAAACUCAAAUGAAUUGACGGGGUCAUAGAUGUUUCCUG